Molecule: long non-coding RNA, 722 nt
Filed under: Bos mutus (wild yak)
Lineage: Eukaryota; Metazoa; Chordata; Mammalia; Artiodactyla; Bovidae
Description: lncRNA (ENSBMUG00000001800.1)
Source: RNAcentral
CAGGAUAUUACUAUUUAUGAACUUUUUCAGUUAUCUACUAAUUUUCAUUGUUCCAAUAAACAAGUAACAUUAUGUCAUACAGAGAAUUAGUUGUUUUUAACUAAUUGAUGACUGGUUGACAAUAUUGGUUUGAUUUCUGUCACACAUCAGCAUACAUUAACCAUAGGUGUACAUAUGUCCCCUCCUUUGAGUUUCCCUCUCACCUCCCACCCAUUCUCACCACUCUUGGUUAUCAAACACCAAAUACUGUUUUUAAAACUACUUACUCUACCAUGAAACAGUUGUCUAAAGGUCUACUGAAAUGAGAACCAAACUGGGAUUUGCUCAGCUGCUAAAUGAGUGCUGUUAACUGAUCUCACACAUCACCCAGUUUAACUCUUCAAGGUUUCUUGUGAUUUUAUACACCAUUUGUUAACUACUUAUGUGAAGUUUCCAUAGAGCAACAUCCUUGACAUUAAACAGCCACAGAGAUGAAGAACCAAAAGGAAAGCUACUCAGAACCGAGUCUGGUUAAGGACACCAGGAGACAGCAAAUGAGAGAUUCACCAUCAGCUCGAGAGAAGCUCAUUGUUGUGAUCCUGGGAAUCGUACCCAAAUAUCAGAACAGAAUAAGUCCUCUCUGAUAACAAAGCUCCAGAAAGGAAAGGAAUGUAAAAGUAAAUGCUCGUGUUGUGGACAGAAAUGUUACUAUUUUUCGGAUGAAUUGAAGAACUUUGAAGAAA